Molecule: long non-coding RNA, 1388 nt
Organism: Salvia miltiorrhiza (redroot sage)
Lineage: Eukaryota; Viridiplantae; Streptophyta; Magnoliopsida; Lamiales; Lamiaceae
Exons: 3
Source: RefSeq, a predicted model, not a curated record
AAUUAAAACUCUAACAUUCCUCCCUUUACCUCUAUCUCGUCUCUCAUCCCCCAGCUUUCUCUCUCUCUCAACUCCGGCCAUAGAAACACGCCCUCCCUCUGUCCUCCGCGGCCACAGCAACGACAGCCACCAAGCUCGUCACACUUCCCUCGUCUCCCUUCCCUCGUCUCCCUCUCCCCCAUCUCUCAAUUCUUAUGAAGAAGACACAAAGCCCCAAAUUUACUCACAAAAUCGUGCCCUAGCUGCUCCUCCGGCGAAUCGCCGCCGCCAGUGGAGGGUCGGCGAGGUGCAGCCCUUCCCUCUCUCUUCCUCUUCACUCAAUACUUCUCAUUUUCUCAAACUCCCAACCUCAAAAUCGUACCGAGCCCUAAUUAUUUCUCUCUACCUGAACCCAGCGAUGUCACCGCGGUUCCAGUUCGAUGUACCGUCGUGCCAUCGACUUGGGUUCCACAGAUUGUGUUUUGCUUCAAAGAAAAUCAGUAAGGGCUGUCGUCGACGCUAGGUCCUGAAACGGUGAGGUUCGCCGUUCUAACUUGAUGGGAACAGGGCAGUCGGGCUUCCUAAGAGCUAAGUCUUACUCUUGUCUCAUUUCUUAUCCAUUGUGAUAUAGUAUCAAUGUAAGCAUGUUGACUUCUUUGAGUAAGAAAAUAUCAGAACUUAACAUCUAUCAGUGUGAGUAUGUCGUGGCUAAAAUUUAUGUUCGAUUUGUGCUAUGUGGUCCCUUUUGCUUGUCAGUAAAAUCUGUUGAAUUUAUAAAAAAUUUACUAGGAUUUUAGGUGGUAGAAACCAUAGAUUUUGGGGAUUUUUUUUUUCUCUCAAAUUCAACAUAUAUGCGAAAGGUAAAACACCCUACUUUUUCAAGUGUCCUUAUCUCUUUGCGUCGAUGCUUAAUUAGUUCUUUUAGUUGUUUACCAAUGCAUCCAUGCACAGGUAGUCAGGUACCUCUUGUUAUUUAACCAUAAUAUUUGACCUGAAGGUGGGGAGUAAUCAUUGUUUGCAUUGCUGGAUAUCUAUUUUCUCUGAGAAUGACUAAUCUUUAGUUGCUUCAGGUUGUUUCUGCAAUGGUAAACAAUGACUUAAUGAGCAUAGCAAACACCAGGCCUCUGAAAUCAUGGAAGGAAACCCUUGCUCUCUUUUGUACAGUAUAAGUUUGAUGAUGAACGAGUGACAAAAGAAGAUAUGAAAAAGGCAUUAGAUGAGUGAAGAUGAAGUUGAGCUUGUGUGUCGGGUUCUCUCCUGAAUUAGUUGUUGCAGAUUUAUCAUAGCAGGUUGAUCAACUAGUUCUUGAGGAUUUGGUGCUAGAACAUAUAGUAUGAUAGAUUUUCGUUUUAGCUAUAACAUAGUUGGUAUUUUCAAUUUUGAAUCGAAAUAUGCAAUGAUGAUGUAUA